RNAcentral lists this ribosomal RNA (762 nucleotides) under Prevotella melaninogenica. RNAcentral describes it as "bacterial SSU rRNA". It matches the Rfam family "Bacterial small subunit ribosomal RNA", at positions 28 to 776 of the family's 1533-position model. The record is from RNAcentral. Lineage: Bacteria; Pseudomonadati; Bacteroidota; Bacteroidia; Bacteroidales; Prevotellaceae.
GAUGAACGCUAGCUACAGGCUUAACACAUGCAAGUCGAGGGGGAACGGCAUUUAGUGCUUGCACUGAAUGGACGUCGACCGGCGCACGGGUGAGUAACGCGUAUCCAACCUUCCCAUUACUGUGGGAUAACCUGCCGAAAGGCAGACUAAUACCGCAUAGUCUUCGAUGACGGCAUCAGAUUUGAAGUAAAGAUUUAUCGGUAAUGGAUGGGGAUGCGUCUGAUUAGCUUGUUGGCGGGGUAACGGCCCACCAAGGCAACGAUCAGUAGGGGUUCUGAGAGGAAGGUCCCCCACAUUGGAACUGAGACACGGUCCAAACUCCUACGGGAGGCAGCAGUGAGGAAUAUUGGUCAAUGGACGAGAGUCUGAACCAGCCAAGUAGCGUGCAGGAUGACGGCCCUAUGGGUUGUAAACUGCUUUUGUAUGGGGAUAAAGUCAAUCACGUGUGAUUGUUUGCAGGUACCAUACGAAUAAGGACCGGCUAAUUCCGUGCCAGCAGCCGCGGUAAUACGGAAGGUCCGGGCGUUAUCCGGAUUUAUUGGGUUUAAAGGGAGCGUAGGCCGGAGAUUAAGUGUGUUGUGAAAUGUAGACGCUCAACGUCUGACUUGCAGCGCAUACUGGUUUCCUUGAGUACGCACAACGUUGGCGGAAUUCGUCGUGUAGCGGUGAAAUGCUUAGAUAUGACGAAGAACUCCGAUUGCGAAGGCAGCUGACGGGAGCGCAACUGACGCUUAAAGCUCGAAGGUGCGGGUAUCGAACAGG